UCCCCCGUAGUUUAACUGGCAAAACACCUGAUUCUGGGUCAGACGUUCUUGGUUCAAAUCCAGGCGGGGGAGC
Molecule: transfer RNA, 73 nt
Filed under: Streptomyces phage Kradal
Lineage: Duplodnaviria; Heunggongvirae; Uroviricota; Caudoviricetes
Also listed under: 3 other names
Description: tRNA-Gln
Rfam family: tRNA
About the family: Transfer RNA (tRNA) molecules are approximately 80 nucleotides in length. Their secondary structure includes four short double-helical elements and three loops (D, anti-codon, and T loops). Further hydrogen bonds mediate the characteristic L-shaped molecular structure. tRNAs have two regions of fundamental functional importance: the anti-codon, which is responsible for specific mRNA codon recognition, and the 3' end, to which the tRNAs corresponding amino acid is attached (by aminoacyl-tRNA synthetases). tRNAs cope with the degeneracy of the genetic code in two manners: having more than one tRNA (with a specific anti-codon) for a particular amino acid; and 'wobble' base-pairing, i.e. permitting non-standard base-pairing at the 3rd anti-codon position.
Source: RNAcentral